This 492-nucleotide ribosomal RNA is filed under the name uncultured bacterium. RNAcentral describes it as "partial 16S ribosomal RNA". It matches the Rfam family "Bacterial small subunit ribosomal RNA", at positions 29 to 507 of the family's 1533-position model. The record is from RNAcentral.
AUUGAACGCUGGCGGCAUGCUUUACACAUGCAAGUCGAACGGUAACAGGCCUUCGGGUGCUGACGAGUGGCGAACGGGUGCGUAAUGCAUCGGAACGUACCCAGAGGUGGGGGAUAACGCAGCGAAAGCUGUGCUAAUACCGCAUGUGAUCUGAGGAUGAAAGCGGGGGACCGCGCAGCAAUGUUUGGCCUCGCGCCUUUGGAGCGGCCCAUGUCGGAUUAGCUAGUUGGUGGGGUAAAGGCCUACCAAGGCGACGAUCCGUAGCUGGUCUGAGAGGACGACCAGCCACACUGGGACUGAGACACGGCCCAGACUCCUAAGGGAGGCAGCAGUGGGGAAUUUUGGACAAUGGGCGCAAGCCUGAUCCAGCAAUGCCGCGUGAGGGAAGAAGGCCUUCGGGUUGUAAACCGCUUUUGGCAGGAACGAAACGGUGUCCGCUAAUACCGGGCGCUAAUGACGGUACCUGCAGAAUAAGCACCGGCUAACUACGUG